ACAGAUGAGUGAUUUAGUUAUUAAAAGUAAUUAAUUAUAGAAUUACAGUUAAAAUCUAGAGAAUUAAGGAAAAAUAUAUAGGAAUUAUAGAAGUUAAUUAGGGUGCCAGAUUGUGAGAGUUAUGAGCCGAGGGGGCCAGACUGUGAGAGUUAUGAGUUGAGGGGGCCAAAUUGUAAGAGUUAUGAGCUGAAGGGGCUAAACUAUGAGAGUUGUGAGCCGAGGGCCAUCGUUGUGAUAGUGUGAGCCGGGAUAAGCUUGGUGCUACCUCUUUUCUUUUGUUUGUUAUUUUCUUUGAAUAAGAGGAUUGAAAGUUUCUGAAUAUUGUGAAGUGAAUUAUAGAAUGGAAAUGUGAUUGAUAUUAUUUGAGAAGAAGAAAGAUUGAAUGUUGAAAUCUGAUUGUAGUUCAGCAAAGAGAAUGAGUCUGUAUUUGUGUGAAACACUGUAAUCAGAAUGGCAGUUCUCUGUGAAGAAUUCCAGUAAUUAGAACGAGGAUAAUUGUGUGCUGAAAGCUAUUAAGGCGCAGUAUUACAGUUGGAGAUUAUGAGGGUGAAUAUAUUAGUGAAAAUAGGAGUUAUUAAUAUGACUGAAUUGCUAUAAGGAAGAGAUCGAUAAGAUGAAGGAGGAGAUUAUAGUUUCCUUGUGUGUUCAGGUAUUGGAAAUAGAGACGAUACAUUCAGGAGGUAAUUGAUUGUAAGACCCUAACGUUAAUGCUUAAGUAAUUAGUCAUUCCCUGUGUUUGAAUCCAACUAUACGGGUUUAUGCUGGGAGGUUUCUUCCAAAAUAAGUAAAACAAGCAAUCACAAUUAUAUAGAACAGGAUAAAUAAAAUCCAUGUCGAGAAGUUUAUCUAAUUCCUCUUUCAUUAAAAGGGGAUAUUUUGAGUUAAGCCGGUGUUAUCUUUGACAAACUAGCAUAUCACCCUCUUCCAGAAUAAUCUGGUGCUCACACAUAUCAACUGGAAUUCCUUUCAAAUCCGCAUAUGACCACGCAAAGGCGGAUUUGUGAUCAACAAAAAACUGUUUCCAACCAUCCACUUCUGUAUUUAUAAUACCGGCAUAUAUUUUAAUUUGCUGUGGCAUUUUGUUGGUGCCUAGGUUAAUGGAUUGACACAUAGGGUCUUCUACAACCUCUGAUUUAAUUAUCUUCUUCUGAUCUAAAUAUCUUAUAUUAUUCGACAUAUAGGAACUAUCCAAUUCUGGUUCCUAUGUGUUGACUCUAUUGAUUGUAAGAUUGUUCAUCUAUUCGGCAAUAGCAUGAUCAAAGUUUGCAGCAUCCUCCAGAUAAACAAAAUAUUCUCUGAGUCCUCGAUAUUGGUAGGAUACUUCUUCCUUACGUAUGCAAAUUGGAUCAUUGCUGAUUUGCAUUGCAUUAGUAAUUUCAUCAUGGUUAUCCUCAAAUUGACCCUCCUCAUCAGAUGUCACUUUCGAGCCUAGAAUUUUAGAUUUUCCAUGAUAUUGGACUGGAUACAUUUACAAAACAAUUGUUGCUCUUUCCUUUUCGAUAGUUAGCAUUCCACAGUCCCAAUCAUUUUUAGCUUUAGCUUGGUAUAACUAUGGCCAUCUCAAUAAAAUUGGAUAUGAUAAUGUAGAAUUUUGUAAGCUAAAAAUGAUAUAAUCAAUUUUAUACACAAUCCCUGCUACAGUAGUGUCAAUACUGUGAAGAAUAUCCAUAGGCUUAACUCGACUAUGGUCAGUCAUUCUUAAUAACAAUGACAUGGAUAACAACUUAGUUAAAUCCAGAUUUUUCAUCGUUUCCAUCAUCAUUAAAUUUACACUUGAGCCCCCAUCCACUUGAACUCUAGAAAUAAGGACUCCAUCGAUGGAUACAUCAAUAGUUGGUGCUCCUAGAUCAAGGUUCAAAUUGACUUCUCAAACUUCUUUACACUGAGCUCUUCAUCGUAUUAACGAAGAAUUCAACAUAAAAUGACAUUCUAGCGCUACCGCUAAUAGUUGCUUCAUUGAGAUUGAUAGUUUGAUUUCAUUCAAAUCCUUCAAUAUAUCAUACGGUUCCAUAUUUGUAGUGAUUUCCAAAGCCCUUUUUUUUUCAUGGAUUUCACUUUAACUCCUAUCAAUACCUUAUCUUGCUUCACAGAGUCUCACACCGGAAUCAUUGAAUAAGCUAUUUUGUAUUGUUUCACCUUGAGAGGGUCUUUCAGUGAGUAAGGCCGCUCCUUAUCCUUUGAGGGUAAUAGAAUUAGUUCAUGUUGGGUCAAUACUCUCAUGCCAGAACCAUCAUUGGGCUGUUUUGAUGAUUCAGGUACAAUUAUUGGAUUUGAGUCUGAUUGUCCCUUAGAAAUUGGUUCCUCCAAUUGUGAAAUUGGAUCUUUUUUAUUUUGCUUGGCCCUUGUAAGCAUGGUAUGCAUGCAUUCGACCCGAUUUACUGAGCAAUCUUAUGGACCUCGAUUAUUCUCCUCUAGUUUAUUCUACAAUUGAACUUGCUAGUUUUGAUUAUUGAAAUUAAAUGGGGCAUUGUACUGCUAAUAAGUAUAUCAUGAUUACUUACAAUUUCCAUACAUGGGAGCAUAGUCAUUACUUGCUCUUGGAUUGGGACAUUCACUAGCAUAAUGUCCGAUCUAUCUACAAUGAUAAUAUUGAAGUGGUCUCUUUUCAACACCAUUAGGAAUAUUGGGAUAUCUAUUGGGAUGUACCGGCUCGGCCUGUUCCAGAUCGGAUGGAUAAAUGAUCCCGAUUAUCUAGUUGGUAUUGUAGAAUCCGAAUUUGAUUGCUGAAAGGGUUGAUAUUGAGAAUAUCCUUGUUGGUUUUCUACCAUUCUUUGAACAUUGGUUCCGUAUUUCUGAUUGUAUACCUAAUUUUGAAAUUUGGAAAAAUUUUUAUUCGGCUUAUUGGAACAAUUCCCGUUCCAGCCAAACUUAUUUUUUGUUUGAAUUUGGUUAACGUCCCACAAAGUCGAUUGGAUCAUUAUCUGGUUACUGAGUUGUUGUUGCUUCCAUAAAUUCCAACAGUUGGUGGUAAUAUGCUUGCCCCCACAAAAGCUACAUUGUACACUCAUUUGGGGUGGUGAAGGAUAUUUUGUUACUAAAUGACCUUGCCCCUUACAAUUGCUACAUCAGACAUUGGGACGCAUAUUAGUUGGUUUAUACCUCUUUUCUUUGUCUUUUGCUAAGUUGAUAGCUAGUUCUUCCAUUUUCUUUGUCAAAGUUAUCAACAAAGUCUCAUUUGGAUCCUUUGAUCUAGUUUUACUUGAUAACUCUUUCGUAGAUAUUAUUUUUUGAUAUAGGGAAUAUAGGGAAUAUAAAAUUACAGUUUUUGGUAGUAUAUUCUAUAAUGAAACAUCGUUCACUACUUUGUGUGGAUUAAUACUAAGGUUUGUAUCGUAAUCCAGCAUUCUUGGGUAACUGCUCCUAGUUUCACUCCAGGUUAGUAUUGGGUAACUUGCUUGAGAUGGAAUCAUUGUAGCUCUAGUGGUUAAGAAUUGGUGAUAGUGACAUUCUUUCCACACCUUUGCUCGUACUAGUGAAGAAGCAACAGUGGUCAGUUGGCCCUCCUUCACAAAUAACUUUAAUUUUAUUAAGUAAAUUCUGUUAACUAAUAUGGAUAAAAUAAACAAAUCACGCAUUUGAUUAUUUGGCCAUUUAUUAAGAAUAUUUGCUACUCGACCAUAAUAUGAUUAUUUGGCUUUUCUAGGUACCAUUCUACUAUUCAUCAAUCUUUCCGUAAGUAGAUCUUCAAAUCCAAUUGAUCAAAAAUGGGUUAAAAAUGUAUUUUUUAAUACCUUCCAAUUAGGAAAUUGACCGACGGGCUAGCGAUUAUACCAUUCAAAUGUUGUUUCUUUUAAUAUUGCUGGCAACCAUCUUAACCAAAUAUCUUCAGUUCUGCUAUUAUUCGCUACUUAUGCAAUCAAAAAUUGUGAUAAAUAUUGAUCUGGAUCGGCUCCUGGUAAACCUCUAAAAGUAAGUAAUGGAGCCACGUUAGUUGUGCGAUCUCCCGCCGCACCCAUUUGGACUGCAAUUGGAACUAUUGGUCCUCCAAAUGCCAUUAAAGAUGCUAGUGUUCUGCUCAAUUCCUUAUUAAAAUAAAAAUUGUCUCCCGCAAAAGUCUUUUUCAGACUUCUAGGCCUUCCAGAUUGACUAUUAUUAUCUCCAAAUAAUUUUACUGGUUGAAUAUGAGGUGAAAACGAUGGAUUUUGAUAUACUCUGAAUUAAUCUUUAUUGGCAAGUGAUUUAUGCUGAUCUUCAAAAUCAGUCUUGUUAGAAUUGGACGUAUCUCCAAUUGAAAAAAUAUCCAAUGGGAUAUCUAAUUCCUGUGUGCCUUCCUCGCUUUCCGUUAACGGCUUCGAGAUGUAUGUUGGACUAUUAACAGUGCUCUCCACGAGUGCUCUUGGCAAUUUUUUUAACGGUAUGUACUUCUGAAAUAUUAGAGGUCGAUCAUCUUUUAGGUACGAUCGAAUAUGCCGAUAGGCAUGCAACUAUGGCUUAAUCCAACUUUGUCGAUGCUUCUUUUUCAAUUUACAAUCUCGCUUGUUACGUAACAAAUUUCUUGCUUAUGAUCUUUUUGUUCUUUCCUUUGAUUGCUUUAUUCUAUUUGCUAUUAAAUUCUCAUUCUUAAUAACCAUACUCUUUCAUUAUUUCUACUGAGUUUGCUUCAUAAUCUCCUUUAUUACUUUGACAGUUAAUUCCUAACACUCAAUAAUAUUAUCAAUCUCAGAAAGCGGUGCCAAAAUGUGAUUAUCGUUUUACUUAUUCCGAAAGAAACCUCCCAAAAUAAACUUGUAUAGGAGAAUUCGAACACAAGGAAAGACUAAGCGCAUGAGUUUUACUUGUUAGGAUCACAUAAUUAAUUGUAUUCCAAACCACUAAAAGACUAAAAAAUACUACAAUGCUUCGUCUUAGUAACAAUACUCCUCUAUCAACUGAUAACCAUAGUGUGCAACCUUGUACUCUCAAAAGAUCGCUCAAAACUCAAUAAAUUCCAUCCAAUACUAGAAAUAAUAAACUUCACUUCAACCAAUCUGAAUUCACAGAAUUCCUGUAAUCACAGACUUCCUCUGUCGAAACACACACACACACAACUCUCAAUAAACAAUAAUCAUAAUCUUCCAUCCAUAAUCAAUCGUUCAAUUAUUUCUCAUAUAAUUCAAUCACUUGAUAUUCUAAUUAUAUAAUCAAUAACUCAUAAAUCAAUCUCUGAUUUAUUCCACAGACUCACUUCUCAGUAUUCAAAAACUAUCCAUUAUUCUUCAACAACAAAGAAAAUAAAAGAAACAAAGAGGAAGCACCAAGCUUAACCCCGGCUCAUGACUAUCACAAUCUGGCAUUUUCUUCUUCUCUCCCAUCCUCCUUAUACUAUCCUGAGAUACCAACUCCUAUACUAUGGAUGAUAACUACUUUUCUUGACUAUUCAUCCAUUCUACCUGCUAAACCACCUUUUCAGUAAUUAUCUAUCCUUGUUUAUACUAUACACUAGAUAUCUACAUUCUGCAAAUAACUACUUAUUCUACACAAGGAAAGAAAAUUCAGUUGCAGAUAUGUUAUCAAGACAAAGGUAUAAUAAUGAAAAAGAGAUGAUUGAUUUGGAAGAUGAUGUGGGUACAAAAUUUUAUAAUAAUACAUUAUCAAAAGAAAAAUGUGUAUGUUUGAAUAUAUCAUUGGAAAUAUUUUUAAGAGAUUUAUAUAAAAAUGAAUGAAAAGAUGUUGGAGAGUAUUCUAGCAUAUUAAAGUGACAAAAAGGUUGGACAGAUCAAGAAUUCAAGAAAAUCCGUAAGAAAGCCUAUGGAUAUUUUUUAUAUGAUGGAUAUUUAUGGAAGCAUCUAAAAAAGAGUGAGAAGUACCACAAAAGAUGAUAUGUAGUUUAGAAGCUCAACAAAGGAAUAUUAAAGAAUUUCAUGAAAAUUUAUGGACGAGUCAUCGAGGUAUUUGGACAACAUUUACUAAGUUAAGAAAAAAAUAUUGAUAGAAGGAAAUGUAUGAAGAUAUAGAAAAUUUUUUAAGAUCUUAUGAGACUUACCAAGUGUAUUCAAAUAUUUGGCAUUGAGAUGGAUUACAUCCAAUAUAUCCUUUGGCUUUAUAUUACAAGUAGGUGGUGGAUUUAGUGACAAUGCCUAUGGGACUUGGACAAAUGAAGUAUUUGGUAUUUGCAAGAGAAGAUUUAUCAAAUAUGGUUGAAGGAUGAGCAUUAAGAACAAAAGAUACUAAAAAUGUAUAUCGAUUUCUAUUAGAAGAGGUAAUUUGUCACUAUGGUUGUAUUGAAAAAAUCACGGUAGAUAGGAGUGAAUUGGAUGCAAAGGAAGUAUGAAAAUUCUUUAGUAGAAUAGGAAUUAAACUUUCUUUAACAAUAAUAUAUAAUCCAGAAGAUAAUUGUAAAAGUGAGCAUGGACAUUCACCUAUUGUUAAAGCAUUAGUAAAAGCAUGCAAUUGCAAAGCAUAUGAAUGGCCUAGACUACUAUCAUUUGCACUAUGGAUAGAUCAUACAAUUCAUAGUUCAGUAACAAGUUAUAUGCCUUCUGAAUUAAUAUAUGGACAAAAACAAGUAAUGCCAAUAGAAGAUAUAGUACCUACAUGGGAUGUAUUGCCCUGAAAGAAUGAUCUCAACAGAGAAGAACUUUUAGCAUUACAAAUUCAACAACUAGAAAGAAGACCUAAUGAUAUUGAAGUAGCAAUAGAAAAAUUGAAAGAAGCAAGGGACAAGAAUAAGGAAAGAUUUGAUAAAAAGCAUCGACUAUGACCUAAGGCAAUUGAAGUUGGUGAUUAGAUAUUAAUUUAUGAUAGUAGCUUAGAUAAUCAACAUAGCACUAUGAAAAAGUUUGCAAAGAGAUGAUUUGAACCAUAAAUUCUCAAAAGGGCAUACAACAACGGAACAUAUUCAUUACAAGAACUUAAUGGUACAGAAUUGGAGGUACUCAUAGUAGGCAAACGAAUCAAGUUAUUUAAACAAAGAGAUGAAGACAUUUGUUGUGAUGAAGAACAAACUCCAAUACAAGAUAUUGAGAUUGGAAUAGAAGAGCAUAUUAAAGAUCAAGAAUUAGAUCAAGAUGUAGAACAUUCUACAUCAACAUAUUGAAGAAUUAUUGACGCAUGCCAGAGGAUGCACAGAUUUAGGGAGGAGGGAUGUCAUCAUGUAACACGAAUAAUAGGUAAAAGAGUGUCAAAAUUAUUAUAAUGUAAGAGAUCUUAGUUUAAAGUAUUACAGCAAAUUAUCUUAGAAAUAUAGUUAAUAGUCAAAAGGGUGGUAAAACUAAAAGGUACCAAUGUUUCUUUUUUAGAAAGGUGACCUCUACUUACUUUGUAGCACCAUAAAUAAGGUAAAAUAAAGUAGAUUGGAAAAAUAAAUGAUAUAAGUAUCUUGACAAGGAAAUUAAGAUUAAAUUCUAAUAAAAUUUACUUAGAAAAACUAGAUAUUGAUACCCAAAGAGGGCUGGCUAUCAACCUAAAUCAAAAUCAGACCCUAAGGCACAAAACUAAGUCUCGACGAUGACUCCGAGGUUCUUUAGCAAAUUAGAGAGUGGAGUUUGAUAGCAAACUGAAUAAGAUUUCUAUAAGCAUUGGUUUUGGAUGAUUUGAAGUUAUUAUGACUUUGUAAGGGCUUUACUAAUUAAGAUUGUUUUUGGAUGAUGUGGAUUUUAUAAAAUAAAAUAGGAUUUAUGUUUCUAGUAAUUUCAAGAAGUUUGUAACAUAUCUACAAGUUAAAUAUUGUGGAUUAAUGGUCAUAGGUGUAUUCAAUAUGUGUUGUGAAUCUUAGAUUGAUCUAACAAUUAAAUUAAGGGUUAUUGAGGUUUAAAUGAGUCAACGGUUGAGAAAGUAGAAUUUUAGGUCCAAUGAAGGUUUUUUAGAUUUCUUGCAAUCUAUUAGUUGGAUUGAAGUGAAAUUUGUGUGAGAAGAAAUAAGACUUUAUUUUUUAUGUAUUUGAAAGUUUUGAGAUCAAUUAAAUGGUAGAAAGAAGAGAUAUUGGCUUUGGGAGAUCAGCAUUAAGGUUGGAGAUGGAAGCCGUCCAAUACUCGAGUAUGUUUUUGAGGUUAUCAUCUAUCCUUUGAAGUAAUUUCAAUCCUUUUCAAAAAAAUUGAGCUUGUUUUCAACUUAAUUUUUAAGAAGUAUGCAAAAUUUGAAUUAAUAUCAACUAUUCAUUAAUUUGUUAUUAAAGAUUAAUUUUGUUGUAUAAAUUAUUAGGAUUUGAUUAGGAUUUGAUUUAAGAUUAGGAUUUGGUUACGAUUUGAUUUAGAAUUAGGAUUUGAUUAGGGUUUGAUUUAGGAUUUAGGAUUAGGAUUAGAAUUUGGUUAGGAUUUAUUUUAGGGUUAGAAUUUGGUUAGGGUUUGAGUAGGGUUUGAUUUAAGAUUAGGAUUUAAUUUAAGGUUUAGGAUUUGGUUAGGAUUUGGUUUAGGAUUUAGGAUUUGAUUAGGAUUUGAUUUGGGAUUAGGAUUUGGUUUAGGAUUUAGAAUUUGGUUAGGGUUUGGUUAAGAUUUGAUUAGAAUUUAGUUAGGAUUUGAUUUAGGAUUUGAUUUAAGAUUAGAAGUUUGAUUUAGGAUUUGAUUUAAGAUUAAAGGUUUAGUUUAGGAUUUAGGAUUUGGUUAGGAUUUGAUUUAGGAUUAGGAUUUGAUUUAAGAUUUAGAAAUUGAUUAGGAUUUGAUUUAGGAUUUAGGAUUUGAUUUAAGAUUUAGGAUUUGAUUUAGGAUUUAGGAUUUGGUUUAGGAUUUUAGGUUUAAUUAGGAUUUCAUCAGGAUUUGAUUUAGGAUUUAGGGUUUUUUUUGAGAUUGUUUAAGAUUUAAGAUUUACUCAGUUUUUGGCCUAAAGUUGGAAUGAAAUAAGAUUUCAACUAGGAUAACAUUAAGAUUGAAUUGAUAUGUAUUUAAAAUAUGUUUGUAAUCAUUUUAAUAUUUCAUUAAGAUUUCUUAUUGUUUCUUUAGAAUUCCUUUGAAGUUUCUCUGAAUUUGAUUAAAGUUCAUUUAGCAUUGUUAGUAUUCUAUUAGAAUUAAGAUUUUAUUGUUAUAAUUUCUAUUCUACCUUCCACAGCCAGGUGCUCAAAGCAUUCUUAAGCAAGAUUUUACGUAUUACAACAACGAUGAAGUGAAAAAAUUUACAGAUGAUAAUAGUGGUCAGCUACAAGUAACAAUGUUGCUAGUUUCCAAAGUUUCAGAACGAAUAAGUCAGUAUCAGCACCAAUUAGAAUUGAGAGAUGCUCAAAUCCUAAAAUUGGAGGCUUAAGUUUGUGAAUUAGAAGAGUACAAUGAAGACCUUUGAGCCCAAUUGAAGAAAGAGCUGAUGGAAGAAUUGGAGGAGGAUGAAGGUUUGUAUUUGGAACCAAAAUUGGUGGAACCAACAAUAGAUAACACGAAAGUUGAUCAAUUUGGUGGGCCAGAGGGAUAGCAAUUUUAUAGAGUUUUGUUAAGUGUUUUUUUUUUUUUAAAUAUGUAUCAAUUCUACAUUUGUAAAGAUGCUGCAUAAUUAGGAGUGGAACUAUGUAGAAUGGAUAGAAUUUUUUUUUUAUAAGAUAUGGAUAAAGUAGAUUAAUUAGUCCUGGGAUUGUCAAUUUAAUAAGUUGGAUGAUUGAAUUAGUUGUGAAAAAUGGUUAAGUAAAGAAUGACAGUUAGAAUCUGGAAUUUUAGAAGUAAAGCAUAAGUAAGUUGAAGAAGAUAUUGGAGGGACUAGACAAGGAUAGUCAUGAGCUGAGGUAAGUUUUGUGCUACCUCUUUGUUCUCUUUGUUUUCUUUGUAGUUGAAGAGUAAUGGAUAGUUUCUAAAUACUAUAAAGUGAAUCUGUGGAAUAAAUCAAAGAUUGAUUUAUAAGAUAUUGAAUAUGUAAUUAAAGUACUGUGUGAUUGAAUUAUUAUGACAAGAUAUUAAAAGUUUGUUAUCAGAUUUUAUAGAAGAUUGAUUUUAGAUGGAAGAUUAUGAUUGUUGUUAAUUGAGAGUUGUGUGUAUUUUGACAAAAGAAGUCUAUGAUCAUAGUAAUUGUGUGAAGCAAGAUUGGUUGAAGUGAAAGACUAUUAUUUCUAGUAUUAGAUGGAAUUUAUAUAUUUUGAAUAGUCUUUUGAAAGUGCAUGAUUAUACAUUGUUAUUAUCAGUUGAUGAAGGAGUAUUAUUAGUGGAAGAAAGCAUUGUAGUAUUCUUUGGUAUUUUAGUGAUUUAGAAUAUGAUUAAUUGUGUGAUACUAAUGUAUAAGCUCAUGCAGUUAGUCUUUUCUUGUAUUCAAAUCUCCUUCUACAGAUUUAUUCUGAAAAGAAUUUGUAGAAUAAGUAAAAUAACAUCCAUACUAAAUUAGAUAGAGAUUUAAUUAUAUUAAAAAUUAUGUGACUAUUAUGACUAUUUAUUACUACAUCUAUAAGAAGUAUUCUAUGAAGAACAUCUCCAAAAGAUAACGGAUGACCAUCUAUGAUUUCUAUGUAUAUAAGUUUAGUUUUUUGUAGUAACUAUAUAUUAUGACUUUUAAUAAAUUCUUCAUCUAAAUUAUAAGCUGAGGCUCUUAAAUCUAUAAAAGCACAUGCUUUGUGAUUAUUAGAUCCUAAAUUCACAUCUAUUAUAAAACAAGGAGAGGAUUUUGAAGAGAGAAUAAAUCCUUCAUUAAGAAUUGUAUAAGAUUCUAGCCACAUGGUCCCUAUUAUAGCUAGACAAAUUCGUUAUUUGACAUGUUUUCAUCUUUGACAGUAAUACUUUAUAUGUUGUAGUUGUAUCAUUUCUUUGGACAAUAUUGAAUAGUGUGCUUAGCUUUUCUACAAUAUAAACAUAGUCCUUUUUGACAACAAUAAGUCUUUUUUUGUUUAAUAAGAGAUUUAAAAUGUACUAUAUCAAUUUACAUGUCUUCUACUUUCAAAUAUUUAGAUUAAGAAGUUAUUGUAGUUAUCAUUGAAUUGUAAUAAUGUUGAGGUUUCAUUGUACAAUUCUCAAAUCAAAACUCAAAAAGUUGAUUAUCAUAUUUUAUAGCAAAAUCAAUUUCUUGACUUGAUGUCUAAAGAUCAAGUAAAUUGAGCAUUAAUUUCUUAACUUCAUAUUAUAAUUGGUAGAAAAAUUGGCUAAUGAGUGUUGCAUCAUUCCACUUGAUAUCUGUCACUAAUUGUCAAAAUUAUAAAGCAUAUAACGUCAUUGAUCGAUUAUCUUGUUAUAAGAUAUGAAUCUUAUUAAUUGAAGUAUAGAUUGAAUUAUGUUCUCUAUACAUAGAUCAAAAUUCCGCUAAGAAUACUUCCAAAUUAUCUAAUAUUAGAUCAUAUCAUUCAAAAAAUGAUGAAAACCAUAAUAAAGUAAAAUUUGAAAGUAGUGUUUUAAUAAAUCUGACUUGUGAUCCUUGAAUUGGAUAACUUUGAGGUUAUAGUUCAAUCACUAGUUAUACCUAAUUGAUGAAUCCUCAAAACUUAGAUCUAAUGCCAUCAAAAUUUUUAAGCAAUCCAAUUUUUAGUUCCUUAAAACUCAAAUGAUGUUCUAUUGUAGGAGCAAUAGUAUAGCUUGGUGUAGAUGUUGAAGCAACUCCAAUCAUCUCUAUAUCUUCAUUUCUUGUUGCUCCUUGUAAUAGUAGACUGAGUUGAUGCAUUACAAGCAUUAACUCUCUCAUUUGCUGUUCCAUUUGAGCCAUUGCACUCUUCAUUUCAGCAAGCUCUACCAUGCUAACAUAAUAAAAAGAAAGGUGUCUAUUUUCACAAAAUAUAAUACUCAAGAAUCAAAAAAUAAUAAUUCUAGGAAUAAUAUUAUUUUAGUAGAGGAUAAUCCACAACUUCUAAUAUGCAUAUAUCUUAUUAAGAAAAAGCAGUAAUCCACUUUUAAUUAAGAAAGGACAAAGCUCUAAUAUUACAUAUGUACUCUUGUCAAUCAGUCAAGGACAUAAACUAAAAGAAGAUACAUAAACUCAUAGAAUCCAUAUCAAAAGAAAAGUGAUAAAAUAGAAGAAAAUAUGUAUAUUCAAAGAAGAACUAGAAUGGCUAUUGCUAAAGACUAGAAAACAUAAGACUCUUGAAACUAGAAUAAAAGUAAGAAAGGAGUUGAUAAGAGUGAGGAAGUCCUCACUUUUGCCUCUAUGCAUACUAUUUAACUAAGAACUAUAUAACGACAUGCUAUAAGACCUCUAAUACGUAUUCAACUUGCACAUAAUAUGUCUAAUUUACAAGACAAGUUUCCUAGGUGUGCGCCAUAUGUCCAACUUGUACUACAAGUCGUCAACAUGUCGACAAGUGGUAUCCUUGUUGGCCAAGUUUUCAACCUAUCAAUCACCUAUAAAGGCAAAGCAGCAUCUAUGAAGUUGCUAAGAAGCUCUCUAUAAGAUAUUAUCAUAUUUAUUUACUUUGACUUACUUCUACCUAUUUUUAUUAUUUAGAUAAUUAUCACGAUAAAUAUGUAUGCCCGUCAUACAAUGGUGGUUGAACUCUUUUUUGAAGAUCAAUAGAAUAAUCAUAAGGAUGAUGCUUUAAAAGAAUAUGUGUAUUUUUUUUUCAAAAAAUUUCUUAAUAAUCUUGGUAUUGGCUUAGAAUGCUAGUUUAAAUCUUUUUUCUAUCAACAAUAGGUAGUAUAUAUAACAAAAUUUGUUUUUUUCUUUUUCAAGUACAUAAGUGCUGUGUGGAAUUGUUAGCAAAUUUUUGAAUGACAAGGGAUCUUUUGCCCUCAACUUGACAUACUCUAAGUAAGUUUUUCUUUCAUAAUCACCCUCUAAGCACAUCUCUUAGCACCUAAAUUUCUAUAUUAUCACUCAUUCGUCUUAUUAUCAUUAAUUAAUAUUAUUUAAUAAUUUCAAAGAACUUUUAUUUUACUUAGAAAUUAAUCUUAAAUUCUUAUCUUUCCAUCCAUUCUUAUCCUUAUGGAUAAAAAUAAAUAAAAAAUAAAAUAAAAUGAAAAUAAAUAAAAAUUAUUCUAAUCUUUUAAUUUUUUCUUAUUUCUUUUAAUCUUAACCUUUCAACUUUAACUUUUAAUCUUCAACUUUAAACUUUUAUUUUUAACCUUCAACUUUUAUUUUUGUUACUUUUAAACUUUUACUUAACUUUUAAUUAUUAAUUCUAACUUAAAUUUUAAUUUAUUUAUUUUAUUUUAUUUUAUUAUUUUAAUUUUUUAAUCUUCCAACUUUCAUCUUUUAACUUAAAAAAAUCUUAACAUCAUGUUAGUACUGAAUUUAAAUAUUUAAGGCUAUUUAUUAUUGAAUUUCUAAUUCUAGAUGAAGUUUUGUCAUAAAUACUUCAUCCAUAGAUAAAUUCUUAUAUAGAACUCCUAUUUACAUGAUUAAUACUACCUUAGAAAUUCCUAGACUAGCACUCCAACAUAGUAUUCAUUGUUUUUAUUUUAUUUUAUUCUAAUUCAUAAUUUUCAGAGUGUAAGUUUGAUAGAAUAAGUCCUGGAAGGCACUUAACUAAAUGAACUACAAAUGCUAAAAAUUAAAUCAUAAAAAAAUAUAACUAAUCUUUAUAUUAUUGGAUUAAUCUUGAUUAUUAUCUCAUUUUGGUUUUCCUAUCUUAUAGAUGAUUUGCAUCUCUAUAUUUAUUAGUAUUGGACUCUAAUCUAAGUUACAAUCUAAUUAAAUCAAAUUUGAGUGAAGGGAGAAAAAUCCACUCACAUCAAGCUACUUAUAGCAAUUGCCAUCUUCUUGGACUUAGAUAAAUCCAUUAUCUAAGCUACCAUGUCAAUAGCAUUAUAUUGAUAAAGUAUCUUAUUGCAUUUCUCAACUUCAACAAGUACUUGUGCCAAUUUUGCCUUACCAUCAUAGUUGAAAAUAAUUCUUGAUGUGACUAAAUUCAAGAGACCUUUGUUAAUAUUACAUAAAGAAAUCUUAACAAGUUGACUCUUAGCAAAUAUAUCCCUUGAUUCUAUUACAGAUUAAAUCAAAUAAGUAUUUAUUAUAUAUAAAAUAUCUUCUUAUUUACAAUAGAAGUUUUGAAUGCAUUAUAUUUGAUCAUGCCUAAAACCUCCAUACUCAUGCUUUAAGUACUUAAUAAACAUUGGAGAAGUUCAAAUGAUGGUGGAUCUUUUAUUGCAAAUAAAACUAUAUUCAUUGUUUGAGCCAUGCAAGACAAAAUAGUUAAAGUAUUAGUUAAAGAAGAAACUAUUUUUUUUUUCCUUCGAUAUCUUCCAAAGAUAUAUCAAUUUUUCCUUAGAUUGAAUCUUCUUCUUUUACCAUAAGCAUGAAGCUUGAAAUAGUAUUCUCCUUAAGAGUUGAAAUAAGUUCUAUGUAUGCUUCUCAAUAAUGUUCUACUUCAUGUAACUCAAAUGAUUGUUCCUCAUUCUAUUUUCCAUAGGUUUGGAGCACCUCGUGCUCUAAGUGUUAUGAUAAGAAUUUAAAUACAUAUCACUCAUUGAAAGUAAGAGAUCUUUGAUGCUUCUUUUUCAUCCAAAGGUAAAAGAUAUUGAUAAUAUCAACUCUUAAUAUACACCAUAAAAUGAAUACUCGGGUACCUACAACUAUCUAAUAGCUAAAAAAAAAACAUGUGCUUACAAAACUAAUAAGCUUUGUAUUUCAUUGGCAAUCACAUCUGGAUUACUAUAUAUCCAAUAUAUCUAUAAAUAGAAAGAUCUUGUCAGCCAUCAAUCCAACCUCAUCUCUAUAAUAUACUUAUCAAUACAAAUUAGUACAAAUAUAAAAUAGAAUAACCAUAGAAAACCUCCAUGAAUAAUAUCCGUAAUUAAAAGAAGGUAGCAAAAAUAAAAUCUAAAUAUCUAUAUUGGAUCCUCAUCUCUAACAACACAUAAGAAAAAAUCAAAAGUAAAUUAGAGCAAUUGAUAAUUUUUUAUAGUUGAUAUUCACAAAUUCAAAACCUAUGACAAUAAAAGAGAAUUGUAAUAAAAUGAAAUAUAGAGAAAUAAAAGAAAAUAAAAAAAUUUACUUAAAAAUCAAUUAGAAUUUAAUAAAUGCCACUUUAAUGCUCCAAAUAACCUCCAUUCUAAAAAUUAAGCAUGCCAAUGAAUUCUUUGAGCCUCUUGCAUAUAAAAUUGAUUCAAAAAUAAUCAAAUUUGGACUCCAUAUGCAUUGAGAGUGAACUUCUAAACUUAAUAUUUAAAGAUUCUGAAUAUAUAUAUAUAUAUAUUUUUUUUAAUAUUCUAUAAUUACAUAAUAAGGCCUAUGACCACAAAUUUGUCACUAAGGUCUUAUGACCACAAACCUUGUCACUGUAUGUCUAUGACCAUAGAAAACCUAUUAUUGUGGACUUAUGAUCGUGUAAUGAUAGUUUGAGCUAUUGUUUGUUAUUGUGGAUCUUUGAUGUUUUUCUUAAACUCAUACUAAGCCUUUGCAUUAAAUUGCCUCAAGUCAAGUAUCUCAAAACAACCUCAAUGUCACUUUCAAUGCCAAAAAUCAAGAAUAUAGUGCCUUAUUGAAAUCAAAAUAAGUCUUGUAAUAAACCUUAUAAUUUAAAAAGAAUAAUAAUCAAUAAUGUAACUUUAUAGCUCCGUCUUACCAUUUUGCCUUGUAUUAUUUUUUUAUGACUAAGCUCCAUAAUCCAAACUAGCCACCUAUGUAAAUUGCAACUUUGUGCUAUAACUAUGGCUCUCUUGUAAUCCUCAUGUAUAACAAUAUGAUCUCAGUUCAAUAUAUUCUAUGUGAUAAUGCAACCUAGCAUAAUUCCAGUCUAAAAUCUUAUAUUGUAUAAUACUUGUAAUGACCAAUACGGCCAUAUAUAAUAGUAUGGUCGUACAACCCAGCUAGAUUUUGGUACCUAAUAUAAUGGUAUCUAAAACCUAAUAGCAAAACAAACCCAAAUUAUAAUUUUUUUUUUUGAUAUUUUUUUUUUUUUAUCCUCUUCAUUUUAACUUGCUAUACUAUAAAUUAAAGAAAAGAAGAGAUACUUAUCAAGUAAAAGAUUAGAAAUCUAUACCAAACUAAGUCAAGUUAUCUUUUAUACCAUGAAAGGAAAAUCCAAGAAUGCAAGUAUGAAAAUAAAAAAAAUCCUAAACCUUUACUAAAAUGGCUAAAAUACCAAAGCCAAGUAAAUCCUUACAACUGUCACGGACACAAAAUACAGACUUGAAAUCUAACAAGAAGUUCAAGAAGAAAUGGCAAAACUAGAUUAAACAGAUGAGUACAAGAACAACACCAGAAAGGUGAGCUAGAACUCCAAGAGAUGUGUUGUCGAGACUGAAGAACUCUUCAGCCUCGAUCCCUAUAUAUACUCCUACUUAGGAAGCUUCUCCAGCUACUUCUAUUAACUAGGAAGCUUCUAGAAGGUUCCAGAGGCUUCCUUUCUAGAAGGUUCUAGAAACUUCUUGAGCUACUUCUAUUAACUAGGAAGCUUCUAGAAAAUUCUAAGGGAUUCCUUUCUAAAAGCUUCUAGAAACUUCUCUCUAAAAGGUUCUAGAGGCUUCUCUUCUAGAAGGUUCCAGAGGCUUGUUUUCUAAAAGGUUCUAGAAACUUCUCUCUAGAAAGUUCUAAGGAAUAUGUCCCUAACAUCACCCCCUCCUUUAGCUUCGAGGUCUCUGAGAAGCAAUGUUGUUGAUCAGUACCAACGCAAGAAAAUGAAGACCUGUCGCAUAACUUCUGCUAUGAACUCCAACUGUUGUUCACGAGGCAAGUGGUUCAUCGACCCUUGAAGCCAACGGUAGUGGCCCAUGCCUUCGACUUCUGACCAAGCAUGAACUUCCGUGUCCUCAUUGUGAAAUUGUCUUGCAAACAUGCCUUCUGAUUGACCAUCGUAAAUAGGCUCGAUCUCAAAUACAAUCACCAGUGAUCGAUUACUCGGUAUCCUCCGUCGUCGUCGUGGUACAUGUAGUUCUUCAUCUCGGGGUCGCCUUUGUGAGCUACUCGGUUGCGAUACUCUGACUGGCAUAGUAUCUAUCUCUUGGCUAUCCAUAUCAAAAGACCAAACUACGAUCUAUCUUGGAGAAAAUAACUACAUCAACUAUGAAUUUUGCUGGUACUCUCCCCUUUUCUUAUAUUGUUGGGAGAACAAGCUUCAGAAAGAAGCUAUCAUCGAAUUGAUUUAAGUUUAUCGGGAUGUCGUUGAUGAAAUUCAUGUACCUUUUGUGGCGCAUUCGCAAGAUUUUCAACUGGCUCCCACGUUCGCUCAUUAAUGUCAUAGCCGCACCAAUGAACAAGAUAUUCUAACUUUCUCCACCUUCGUCGUGAAUCCAAUACAUUUUCAACCUUGUAUUUUUCAUGGUUCUCGAUUUCAAUACUAGGUGGCGGACAUUGCACUCUUUCAAGAAAAGAUGACUCUCGAUAAGGUUCCAACAGAGAAACAUGAAAGACUGGAUGUACCUUCAUAGAAGCCGAUAACUCCAGCCGGUAUGCCACUGGAUUAAUUUGCUUCUGGAUGAUAAAUGGUCCCAAUCUUCGAUAGUCCAACUUAUCACAUGGUCGCUUGGUCUUGAUAUUUUGUCGAAGAAGCCAGGCUUUGUCUCCAACUUUGAAAGUAGGUGCUGGAUUCCGAAAUCUAUCUGCAGACGUCUUAUAGGAUUCUUGAGCGGAUUGUAAUUGAAGCUUCAACAUAGUUUGAAGCUCUGAUAGUUGCUUCGCAAAUCCUUCAGCUGUUGGAUUGUUAUUUGUUGACGGACUCAAUAAAUUAAGCUUCGAAUGAUACCCAUAGUUGGAAAAGAAUGGUGUUUGUUGAGUCGACGCAUGGAAGGUGUUGUUAUAUGCAAACUCGACUAGCGGUAGAUACGCAGUCCAAUCGUCUUGCUGAUAGUUGAUGCUGCAUCGUAAGUACUGCUCCAAGACUUGGUUCACCCGUUCCGUUUAGCCAUCAGUUUGAGGAUGAAAAGCUGAAGAAAGCUUGAUAUCCACCUUCAAUAUCCCAAAGAGAGAUCUCCAAAACUUUGACACAAACUGGGUACCUCGAUCUGAUAUGAUAUCAUCUGGUAGUCCAUGAUAUCGAUAUACAUUAUCGAGAAAGAGUCUUGCUGUGACUUCACUGGAUGAUGUCUUCUUACAAGGAACAAAGUGUGCCAUCUUUGUAAGCCGAUCUACCACGACAAAGAUGCUGUCAAAUGAGUUUGAUGAUGGCAAGUCCGUGAUGAAGUCCAUAGAAAUUGAAGACCAUGGUUGACGUGGAAUUGGCAAUGGCUGUAGAAGUCCAUAAGGGCGAUGCUGAGGAUUCUUAGAUCUUGAACAGAUGUCACAAGAGAGGACAAAAUCUUUCACAUCCUUCCACAUUUGGGGCCACCAAAAAUCUCGAGAAAUAAGCUCCAAGGUCUUGUUGAAUCCAAAAUGUCCCGCAACUCAAAAAUCAUGGCGAGAUUGAAGAACUCGGAGUCGUGCUAGUCCUUUUAGAAUGUACAAUCGCUCUUCAAAGUAUAAAAGAUCUCCCUCCACCUUGAACUUGUCGUCAUUGGUACGUUGCUUGAUAUCAAUGGCUACUGAAUCUUUAAUGGUCAUUGCACGUACCUGGUUUAGGAAGUCAGCAUCAAAUGAUACAAUAGUAGCACAAAGUUGAAAUCUCUCUGGCUUCAAUAACGUUGUACAUUGUUGAUCAAACGCUCCUUCUCCAGCCUUUGGUGCAAGAUACGAUCUCCUUGAUAAAGCAUCAGAUAGUCCUUGCUGCCUUUCAGGUCGAUAAGUGAUAACAAAAUCGAAUCUAGAUAACGACAUAUUCCACCGAGCUUGAUGCCGAUUUAAAACUCGAGCCAUCAUGAAAUACUCCAAAUUCUUGUGAUCCGUAUAUACGGUUACUAGAUGUGCAGCUCCUUCAAGAAAGUGACGCCAUUCUUCGAAAGAAUCCACUAUAGCAAGAAGUUCCUUAUCGUAGAUCUCAUAAUUGAUUUCAGCAGCAGAGAACUUUCGAGAAUAGAAUGCAACUGGAUGGAGCUUCUUAUCUUCACUCAUUUGUGAAAGCACAGCUCCCAAAGCAAAAUCUGAAGCAUCAGUUUCUAAAUAGAAGGCCUUUGUAAAGUCUGGAUGUACCAAAAUUGGAGCUGUAGUAAAUGUUGUCUUCAAAUCUUGAAACGCCUUCUCCGCCAAAGGUCCCCAUUCCAACUUAUCCUUGCAUGUUAAUCGAGUGAGAGGAGCAGCAACUUGAGAAUAAUUCUUGAUGAAGAUCCGAUAGAAGUUAGCAAAACCAAGAAAGCAUUGUACGUCUCUAACCGUCUUCGGAACCUCCCAAGACAUGAUUGCUUCUACUUUCUUACGGUCCAUCUUCAAACCUUCUGUAGUCGCAAUGAACCCCAAAAAUUCCAUCUCCGUCUGGUGAAAUAAACACUUUUCUAAUUUGGCAUAUAGUCCUCGCUUGCGUAGUUUCUCCAAGACCAAACAAA
Molecule: long non-coding RNA, 19088 nt
Filed under: Physcomitrium patens
Lineage: Eukaryota; Viridiplantae; Streptophyta; Bryopsida; Funariales; Funariaceae
Description: long non-coding RNA (PPAT_LNC014156)
Source: RNAcentral